Small nuclear RNA from Aotus nancymaae (Ma's night monkey), 105 nucleotides. NCBI's taxonomy places the organism in Eukaryota, Metazoa, Chordata, Mammalia, Primates, Aotidae. The record is from Ensembl.
GUGCUCAUUUUGAUAACACAUAUACCAAAACUUGGAAUGAUACAGAGAUUAGCAUGGCUCCUAUACAAGGAUGAUGCACAAAUUCAUGAGACGCAUCAUAUUUAU